AAGGGCUGGAGAGGUGGCUCAGAGGUUAA
This 29-nucleotide non-coding RNA is filed under the name Cricetulus griseus (Chinese hamster). The record is from RNAcentral. Lineage: Eukaryota; Metazoa; Chordata; Mammalia; Rodentia; Cricetidae.